GGAUAACCUACCCUUAGGACUGGGAUAACCCUGGGAAACUGGGGAUAGUACUGGAUAGGCAAUUAUUCCUGUAAUGGUUUUUUGUUUAAAUGUUUUUUCGCCUAAGGAUGGGUCUGCGGCCGAUUAGGUAGUUGGUUAGGUAAUGGCUUACCAAGCCUUUGAUCGGUACGGGUUGUGAGAGCAAGAGCCCGGAGAUGGAACCUGAGACAAGGUUCCAGGCCCUACGGGGUGCAGCAGGCGCGAAACCUCCGCAAUGUGAGAAAUCGCGACGGGGGGAUCCCAAGUGCUAUUCUUAACGGGAUGGCUUUUCAUUAGUGUAAAGAGCUUUUGGAAUAAGAGCUGGGCAAGACCGGUGCCAGCCGCCGCGGUAACACCGGCAGCUCUAGUGGUAGCAGUUUUUAUUGGGCCUAAAGCGUCCGUAGCCGGUUUAAUAAGUCUCUGGUGAAAUCCUGCAGCUUAACUGUGGGAAUUGCUGGAGAUACUAUUAGACUUGAGAUCGGGAGAGGUUAGAGGUACUCCCAGGGUAGAGGUGAAAUUCUGUAAUCCUGGGAGGACCGCCUGUUGCGAAGGCGUCUGACUGGAACGAUUCUGACGGUGAGGGACGAAAGCUAGGGGCGCGAACCGGAUUAGAUACCCGGGUAGUCCUAGCUGUAAACGAUGCGGACUUGGUGUUGGGGUGGCUUUGAGCUGUCCCAGUGCCGAAGGGAAGCUGUUAAGUCCGCCGCCUGGGAAGUACGGUCGCAAGACUGAAACUUAA
Molecule: ribosomal RNA, 757 nt
Filed under: uncultured archaeon
Lineage: Archaea
Description: bacterial SSU rRNA
Rfam family: Archaeal small subunit ribosomal RNA
Source: RNAcentral